AAAGUCUUAAGGUAGUUGCUGCUUCCUGCUUGAAUGGAUAGAAGCUGUGGACAGUUGUGCAAAAAUGUUUCAGACUUUAUACAUUAUUUACAAAGUGUUCUAGCUUUGUAAAUUCUUAUCUCUCUCUUUUCAGAAAUUGGCUAAACUUCUGCUCUGUGGCACCGAGUUGGUGACAAAUAUCCAGGUGGCUAUAGAUAUCAGAGAGAUUCACAGGAGAGUCGAAGAAGAGGAGAUAAAGCGUCAAAGGAUUGAGAAGCUGGAGAAUGAAGUUAAGACCAGCCAGGACAAAUUCGAUGAAAUCACCUCCAAGUGGGAAGAGGGCAAGCAGAAGAGAAUUCCCCAAGAGCUGUGGGAAAUGCUCAAUACCCAACAGCUGCACUGUGCUGGACUCUUAGAAGAUAAGAAUAAACUCAUCAGCGAGUUACAGCAGGAGUUAAAAACAAAGGAUGACCAGUAUGUGAAGGAUUUGAAGAAACAGUCAGAUGACAUCUGCCUGCUUCUGGAGCGGAUGGAAGAACAGGUGAAGAAUGUGAUGAAAACCUUUCGUGAGGAGCUCUAUAACAUUGAGAAAGCAUUUGAGG
RNAcentral lists this small RNA (581 nucleotides) under Pan troglodytes (chimpanzee). Its description in RNAcentral is "retained intron". The record is from RNAcentral. Lineage: Eukaryota; Metazoa; Chordata; Mammalia; Primates; Hominidae.